Acinonyx jubatus (cheetah) is the source of this 1169-nucleotide long non-coding RNA. RefSeq lists it as uncharacterized. Lineage: Eukaryota; Metazoa; Chordata; Mammalia; Carnivora; Felidae. The transcript is spliced from 3 exons. The record is from RefSeq and is a predicted model, not a curated record.
UAUAUUUGUUAUAUGUAAAUAUCAGUCCUAUCUUAAUGGGUAGAGAUCUCCUAUAGAGAGAUACUGCAGUCAAUAUAAACAGUUUACAGAGUGGCUAAUAAACACUGAUAUGAAGGGAAAGGGUGCGCUCUAGUACAAAACUUAUUUAGAUUUAACUCCAUUAAUUUAAAAAAUUGACACUAAACACUAAAUUCUGUGCUGAAAGGAAAAGGUGAUUCAACUCCAUUUUGUGCCUAAAGGUUUUAAUUUGUAACUGAUUUCCCAUAGUAAUAGUAUAAUUUUUUUUUCUUACAAGCAAAGAGCCGGUGAACAAUAUAAAUAUCAUGUUGAUAUUUAUUAGUCUAAUUAGUUGCCUUUCCAAAAUCCAUUUAAUAUUCAAUAUUAAAAAAAAUCCGUGAUCCCCAAAGAAAGAAUUACCAUCACCUACCGUGAAAUUAAGCAGAGCUUACAAAAUUAUAUAGUUUUUGUAUUUUAUGUUUUAAUAUGCAUAAUGAGUAUUAGGUAUUAGACAGAUUUGCAUGUAAGUGGCUUUUAGAGCCCACAUCUUGUAACUUAAGAAACAAACAUGGUAGUUUUCGUGGAGGACAUCUAAACCUAUUGUAGUCGUGUCUCAUCGUGAUGAAGUACUUGGGGUCGUGAAUCUCUUCAUGUGCCCCACUGUCUACACCCAAGAUGAAUGCAUGCCAUUUGACUAGAGUGUAUUAUUUGGUGUUCUCCACAGGCCUGAAUGGAAAGUCAUUUUGACCUGCUCCACAUUUUUACUUAAGAACUGCUUUUAACAAUAAGCCACUGGUGUACUUGUUUCUGGACUGACUUGAGUUUUUGGCACAAUAUGAAAAGCAUUUGGAAAGUAGUAUGUAUAUCAUGGCAAACAAGUGAAAUAGAAUGAUAAAUGAUUAUACAAAUCUUGGACGACAAAUAGAAGCGAAUAGAGACAAAGGAUCAUCGUCUCUGACCAGAAGUCCCAUGUGGGCUGUUUGUUUCUUGGGACUCGGCUACGUCCGGAGAGAGGUUGCGCUUUCUUCGGAGGACUGGGAACCGCAGCCCAAGCACAGAGCUCUGUGGCUGUGACCGUCCGGAGGACACCAUUGAGGAGUCAGCUUUCUUCCGUCGCUUCCUGCGUGUGCCCCGACUACCGGGACCUGACGUGGAACUUCAAAAGCAAGGCA